GAAAGUUCGACUCGCCCCAAAAUUAAUCCUCGAACUCGAUUUUGUUUUUACGAUUUUGGAAGAGAAAUAAUUGUGGGAAAGAUUAGCGCCAUUAGGAUAAUAAUUCUGUAGGAAAAAGAUAUUUCAAAUCACACAAAUCGCGUGGAAUUCGGACAUCUGCUCUGGGACAUCUGAAUAAUUUAUAGUAUGUAGUAUCAGAAGGUUGUGCAUCAUGGAACAACACAAUGCAGUGCAUACUCAAGACAAAAUUCAUGAAUGUGAUGUUUGUCAGAAGAGGUUUUCAAAACAAUGUAUUUUAGAAAUACAUAAGAGAACACAUGCUGGAAACUUGCGUUUUGAAUGUGAUAUUUGCAACAAAAGAUUUUCCAAAUCUGGUGGGCUUGAAAGGCAUAAAAAAUCACACACUGGCACUGAAGUCAAUAUUUUUAAUGAAUGUGAUGUUUGCCAGAAACGAUUUUCCAGAUUUAGGUAUUUGGAUGUGCAUAAAAGAACGCAUACCGGCGAAAAACCAUAUGAAUGUGAUGUUUGUCAGAAACGAUUUGCACAAUCAAGCACUUUGGCUACUCAUAAAAGAACACAUACUGAAGACAAACAUUUUGAAUGUGAUAUUUGCAACAAACGGUUCUCAAUAUCUGGCUACCUGGCAAAACAUAAAAGAACACACAGUGGUGACAAACCUUAUGAGUGUGAUGUUUGCCAAAAAAGAUUCCUCAGACCAGCCAAUUUAGCAGUACAUAAAAGAACACACACUGGAGACAAACCUUAUGAAUGUGAUCUUUGCAACAAAAGAUUUUCAACCUCUAGCAAUUUGGCAUAUCAUAAAAAAACACACACAGGAGUCAAACCUUACGAAUGUAACCUUUGCCAUAAACGAUUUUCACGAUCAAACUACUUGGCACAACAUGUACAAAUACAUAAUGGAGACAAACCUCAUGAAUGUGAUAUAUGUCAGUUGAGAUUUUCAAGAUCAUACCAUUUAGAAAGACAUAAAAUAACUCACACUGGAAAAAGAGAUUAUCAGCCUUCUAUACACAUAGACACAUUUUCAACAUCAAGUGACUGUACAAAAACAGACACUGCGGAAAAGCCAAAUAAUGAUGACCUCUCUGACUCAUUCCCUUUAGAAAGAUGUAAAAUAGGACAUACUGGUGAAAAAGAUGAUCAGUCUGAUGGGAGCAUGGAUGAGUUAAUUUCAACAUUAACUAACAAAGUCAGUCCUUCAAUGACAGAAGACAAACCAAAUAUUGAUAACCUGUCAUGGAACAAGACAGCACAACAUCAGCUUAAAAAAGAAAGUCCCAACAAACACCAAGUCCUAUGCAUAUCAUGUGGCAAAGAUGUUAUUGAAUCACAAGAUAUGCUCACAGAAGAUGGCAUUGAAAUAGAUCAUUCAUUUCAAUGUAAGUUUUGCCAAGAACCAGAAAGAAGAGAAACAGCUGAUAUUGGAUAUGUUUGCUCUCUUUGCAGUAUUUGCUUUGAUGCUGCCCAAGAACUUGAAAAUCAUUUAAGUACUCAUAUCAUCACUGACUAGACCAUUGUGAUUAUAUCAGAGCAUUGAAAUUUUGUUCAUAAAAAAAUGGUAUUUCGUUUUGUUAUGACAAUAUAUAUAGACACAGCCAUUCAAAAAGUGGAAAUUUUCAGAGAAACUAAUCUGCCCUAAAAUUGUAAGGUGGAAGUGAAAUGGUGUGCAGUGUAGUUUGCAGGCUAGUCAGACCAGACCCUAACCCUGCAGUGGCUUGAUCUAAUCCACCCCCGGGGGUUGGCCUGCAUGUCAGGCUACCCUGAAGUGGACUAGUGAUCUGGUGUGACUUUAUAUACCACCCUCAAGAUUAAUAGGGUUGGGGUCAGCAUUGGGUUGGGUCAAUCCAGUCUGACUUUUAUACCUGCCUCAUUACUGUUUACAACACAUGAUAGAGCAAUAAAGAACAUUUACAGAUGUCCAAAAUAUAUUUAAAAAGAGUUUUCACCAUAUGCUCCCUCAGAUCCUAAACAUGGAUCUUACUCACAUUGCUGUAAUUUAGGAGGAAUUUUUCCUUAAAUUUUUUCUUGAAACAUUAAAAGGUGGUGAGCCCCAUGAUUGGAACUUAUCACCAACGAUUAUUGUUGGGACAGGAUUAUUGUGCCGAGCGCACUCAGGUGACUGAGCGCUGUUUCAAAUCCUGUUUCAGACAAUAUGCUUCAAAGUUUUAUUUUGUUCAGGUUGAUGUAGGUGGAUUAGACAAAUUUUGG
Paramuricea clavata is the source of this 2229-nucleotide non-coding RNA. The record is from the annotation of a GenBank genome assembly. NCBI's taxonomy places the organism in Eukaryota, Metazoa, Cnidaria, Anthozoa, Malacalcyonacea, Plexauridae.